GAUGAACGCUGGCGGCGUGCCUAAUACAUGCAAGUCGAGCGAACAGACGAGGAGCUUGCUCCUCUGACGUUAGCGGCGGACGGGUGAGUAACACGUGGAUAACCUACCUAUAAGACUGGGAUAACUUCGGGAAACCGGAGCUAAUACCGGAUAACAUGUUGAACCGCAUGGUUUAACAGUGAAAGACGGUCUUGCUGUCACUUAUAGAUGGAUCCGCGCCGCAUUAGCUAGUUGGUAAGGUAACGGCUUACCAAGGCAACGAUGCGUAGCCGACCUGAGAGGGUGAUCGGCCACACUGGAACUGAGACACGGUCCAGACUCCUACGGGAGGCAGCAGUAGGGAAUCUUUCGCAAUGGGCGAAAGCCUGACGGAGCAACGCCGCGUGAGUGAAGAAGGUCUGCGGAUCGUAAAACUCUGUUAUUAGGGAAGAACAAAUGUGUAAGUAACUAUGCACGUCUUGACGGUACUUAAUCAGAAAGCCACGGCUAACUACGU
This 496-nucleotide ribosomal RNA is filed under the name uncultured bacterium. RNAcentral's name for it is "partial 16S ribosomal RNA". It matches the Rfam family "Bacterial small subunit ribosomal RNA", at positions 28 to 506 of the family's 1533-position model. The record is from RNAcentral.